UUGCUUCUCUUGAGAGCGGCGGACGGGUGAGUAAUGCCUAGGAAUCUGCCUGGUAGUGGGGGAUAACGUUCGGAAACGGACGCUAAUACCGCAUACGUCCUACGGGAGAAAGCAGGGGACCUUCGGGCCUUGCGCUAUCAGAUGAGCCUAGGUCGGAUUAGCUAGUUGGUGGGGUAAUGGCUCACCAAGGCGACGAUCCGUAACUGGUCUGAGAGGGUGAUCAGUCACACUGGAACUGAGACACGGUCCAGACUCCUACGGGAGGCAGCAGUGGGGAAUAUUGGACAAUGGGCGAAAGCCUGAUCCAGCCAUGCCGCGUGUGUGAAGAAGGUCUUCGGAUUGUAAAGCACUUUAAGUUGGGAGGAAGGGUUGUAGAUUAAUACUCUGCAAUUUUGACGUUACCGACAGAAUAAGCACCGGCUAACUCUGUGCCAGCAGCCGCGGUAAUACAGAGGGUGCAAGCGUUAAUCGGAAUUACUGGGCGUAAAGCGCGCGUAGGUGGUUUGUUAAGUUGGAUGUGAAAUCCCCGGGCUCAACCUGGGAACUGCAUUCAAAACUGACUGACUAGAGUAUGGUAGAGGGUGGUGGAAUUUCCUGUGUAGCGGUGAAAUGCGUA
RNAcentral lists this ribosomal RNA (616 nucleotides) under uncultured bacterium. RNAcentral's name for it is "bacterial SSU rRNA". It matches the Rfam family "Bacterial small subunit ribosomal RNA", at positions 80 to 692 of the family's 1533-position model. The record is from RNAcentral.